GAUGAACGCUAGCGGCAGGCUUAACACAUGCAAGUCGAGGGGCAGCAUGAUUUAACUUUCGGGUUAGAUUGAUGGCGACCGGCGCAAGGGUGCGUAACGCGUGAGCAACUUGCCCUUAUCAGGGGGAUAACCGUUGGAAACGACGACUAAUACCCCAUAGUAUCACUUUAAGGCAUCUUUUAGUGAUUAAAGAACUUCGGAUAAGGAUAGGCUCGCGUGACAUUAGCUAGAUGGCGGGGUAACGGCCCACCAUGGCGACGAUGUCUAGGGGUUCUGAGAGGAAGGUCCCCCACACUGGAACUGAGACACGGUCCAGACUCCUACGGGAGGCAGCAGUGAGGAAUAUUGGGCAAUGGGGGAAACCCUGACCCAGCAACGCCGCGUGAAGGAAGAAGGCCUUCGGGUUGUAAACUUCUUUUAGCAGGGACGAAGAACGUGACGGUACCUGCAGAAAAAGCAACGGCUAACUACGUG
This 474-nucleotide ribosomal RNA is filed under the name uncultured bacterium. RNAcentral's name for it is "bacterial SSU rRNA". It matches the Rfam family "Bacterial small subunit ribosomal RNA", at positions 28 to 507 of the family's 1533-position model. The record is from RNAcentral.